Long non-coding RNA from Ostrea edulis (European flat oyster), 474 nucleotides. RefSeq lists it as uncharacterized. Lineage: Eukaryota; Metazoa; Mollusca; Bivalvia; Ostreida; Ostreidae. The transcript is spliced from 3 exons. The record is from RefSeq and is a predicted model, not a curated record.
GUUUGACUAUUAAUCAGACAGACAUAAUCUCUGCCACACACCUACUGACAAUUAGAUGCUAAACAAAAGACCCCUCGUUUAUCAGUGGAAUGAAAUCUGGGUUGUAAGUCGGGGACGGGUCCAUGAAUUGUCAGAAGUUAGGGGAGGCAACUUCACGAGGCAAGUGGUCUGGGGGUCGCCUUAAGGCCCCCAGUGGUGGGGACCAUGGGGCGAAGCUAUCGGAUUUUAUAGAUUUUGUUGAGCUUGAAAUAAGCCUCCUAUGUAGUCAUUUUUACUAUUUUCUGUUAUUUUCAAUGACUUAAAAUUAAUACAAUUACACAGAUUUUAGGUGGGUUCUUUUUUAAAGGAACAAUAACAUAUUAUUUCUCUCUAUAAAGGUAACAAUAGAUUAAAAAAUCUUGUCAUUUUUUUCUCCGAGAGUAGAAGAAAAAAAAAGAUUGCUUUAUUUAUCGUUCAUUUUUUUUUUUUAUUAAC